CACAGUCCAGCAUGGCGGCCUCCUUAGGUCGUCAGCUCCCCUCCCUCCUGGCGCUGCUGGGCUGGCUCCUGGCGGCGCCCCCGAGUCUUGGGCUGAGUUCCGGAUAGGUAAGCAGGCAGGAGAUCCUGCUGUGCCAAAUGGUACUCAGAAGUGCCAGUGCUAGAAUGGAGCUGCUUGUGAUCCUAUUCAUGGGACUUGUACCUGCCUUCCAAGGAGAUAUCUGUGCUGAGGAAGGACUGCAGCCUCAAACCUCUUGAAGAAAGGAGAAUUGCCUAGAACCUCAAAGAAGAGAAUAAGGAAACUCCAAAAGAUACAAUGGUGACAGCACCACAUGGCCUCUUACUUAAACCUUCUGAGAGACUGCUAAAAAUUGGUUUAAAGAAAUGAAAAGGGAAUGUGGUGACACCUAACUACAUUCAUUUCUGCCUAGGAUUCACUCUCCACCCUCCUCUCUAUUUAGCAGUAGUAGAACCCUGGAGUGUUUCUCUUAGCCUUGUUGUUUACUGACUUGGAGAAUAAAGGGAGCAGCUUGGGA
Long non-coding RNA from Trichosurus vulpecula (common brushtail), 535 nucleotides. RefSeq lists it as uncharacterized. The transcript has 2 exons. Lineage: Eukaryota; Metazoa; Chordata; Mammalia; Diprotodontia; Phalangeridae. The record is from RefSeq and is a predicted model, not a curated record.